UAGGGAAUCUUGCACAAUGGGCGAAAGCCUGAUGCAGCCAUGCCGCGUGAGUGAUGAAGGCCUUAGGGUUGUAAAGCUCUUUCACCGGUGACGAUAAUGACGGUAGCCGGAGAAGAAGCCCCGGCUAACUUCGUGCCAGCAGCCGCGGUAAUACGAAGGGGGCUAGCGUUGUUCGGAAUUACUGGGCGUAAAGCGCGCGUAGGCGGAUGAUUAAGUUAGAGGUGAAAGCCCAGAGCUCAACUCUGGAAUUGCCUUUAAUACUGGUCAUCUUGAGAGUGGAAGAGGAGAGUGGAAUUCCUAGUGUAGAGGUGAAAUUCGUAGAUAUUCGGAGGAACACCAGUGGCGAAGGCGGCUCACUGGCUCGAUACUGACGCUGAGGUGCGAAAGUGUGGGGAGCAAACAGGAUUAGAUACCCGCGUAGUCC
This 424-nucleotide ribosomal RNA is filed under the name uncultured prokaryote. RNAcentral's name for it is "bacterial SSU rRNA". It matches the Rfam family "Bacterial small subunit ribosomal RNA", at positions 355 to 796 of the family's 1533-position model. The record is from RNAcentral.